RNAcentral lists this long non-coding RNA (2164 nucleotides) under Mus musculus (house mouse). Its description in RNAcentral is "long non-coding RNA chr3:135719331-135721495". The record is from RNAcentral. Lineage: Eukaryota; Metazoa; Chordata; Mammalia; Rodentia; Muridae.
ACAGAAGCCUGCUGUUAUCUUUCUGAUCACUUAUUUACUGUUUCACUGUUUCCUUUCUCAUGAGAACGGACCUAGCACGGAUGAUUCAGUGUUCCCACUGUCUACAUGCCUGCGCCUGGCAUGGUGACUUGCAGGUGGUAAAUGCUCCAUGCAGGUAUGUGCCCGGAUAAAAUAGUGUCUGGUUAGCAGCUCAGCAAGCAAGCCACACUCUUGAUCUCUACACUUCAUCCUCUGAGUACCCUUGUACUGUAAUAACAACCAACAGUGCCAGAAGUGCUCCGAGGGCUCUCCUCUGUAAACACAUCUGAUGGCUUUUUACCACCGGGCAAUGUUUGUUUUUUGUUUGUAUGCUAAUGCUUAUUUUUGCGUGUAUUGUACACAUGUGUGGGCAUGCAGACCAUGGAUGGAGGCCACAGGUUGAUGCCACCUGCCUUCCUCCAUCACUUCUCCAUCUUAGUUUUGAGACAGGCUCUCUCCAGAACUCAUCAAUGUGGCUUGGGUGGCUUGCUGAUGAUAGGUUUCUGCCUACCAGCACUUGUGUUCCAGAUGUAUGCUGCCAUGCCUGGCCUUUUAAAGUAGGUUUUCAUAAUAUAGGUUCUGGGGAUCCAAGUUCAGAUCCUCAUGUUGACACAGCAAGCACUUUACUGAAAACCUUUUUUCUGCUUCUCUUUUAAUUAGCAUAGGAAGUAAUAUUCACUAUAUUCAUAUUCGUUAUGACAUUUUCAUUAUAAUAUGUUUUACUUUCGGUCUCCCUGGCUUGUCCCUUUCAACCUUUAUGUCAUACGUGUCUUAACACCCUCCUUCCCUUCCUAAACCCUCUUCUUCCCCUUUCAUGGUUCCCUUUCUAGUUUCAUGACAAUAGUCAUAUUCAAACACAUACAUGAAUAUACACACAGCAUACCAAAGUUAAAGACUAGGCUCUACAUCAGAGAGAGUAUGUCUUAAUAUUUGUCUUUCUGACUCUGUUACCUGGAUUAACAUCAUAUUUUACAGAACCAUCCAUUUUCCUACAAAUUCCAUUCAUUUUUCUUUAUGACUAAAAAAAAAUCAUACUGCAUACAAGCACCAUAUUUCCCAUUGUAUAUUUAUCUGUGGAUGGACAUCUAAUCUAGGCCCUUGUAUGUCCUUGCUGCUGUGACUAGCACAAAAGUAAACAUGAAUGUGCAAGUAUUUCUGUGGUAUGCUGACUUACAGUCUUCUGGGCAUAGAUAUUAUGAGUGAGUGGGAUAGCUGCCUCAUGUGGUAGUUCUAUUAUUAAUUGUUUGAGAAACCACCAUGCUGAUUUCCAUAGUGACUGAACUAGUUUACAUUACCACCAACAGGGAAUAAGAAUUCCUCUUUUCACAUAGCUUCACGGGCAACCAUCUGAUGCUUGAAAAGUAGACUUUACUGUUUGAAUUUUCAGUUGCAGAUGAGGGAUCCAAGGCACAAAAGGCGAAGCUGUUCCAGGUAGAGCCAUAGAGUCAAGCUAGACUGUGAACUCCAGUAUGUAGGUUCCUCAGCAUCGGGGGUGGAGUUGCUCAACAUUUCCCCACAUUGUGGGUGAAGGACUUAAGAUGUAAGCGGAUUUCCCACAAUCAAAGCUUAUUAGAUAGACAAGGAUUCGACUGGGCCAGAGACAUCCAUCUACAAGCUAGGUUCUUCCCACUCUAUGCCAGUGCCGAGGUAUAACAUUGUGACCCCAGAGACAGAGUUCCAAGAAAAGCCAAGACUGUGUCAAUGGCCCCAAAGGUCAAGAACAUUCAUCAUCAGAGAGGCAAAGGGGAAAAAGGAACUCCCUGCCUGUCUACAACGUCCUUCUAGGUACAAACCUGUAAUGUCAGCUGUGGCUCUGGUAAGUACAUCUUAAGAGAAAUGUGUCGAGACGUUGGGGGAAGCCUGACAAUUACAGGGAAAAGGGAUGUCAGAGAAAAGGGCGCCUUACCAAAUGAGUGUGCAUUUGUCUAAGGAGACAAUAAAUGACAAUGAGUGUGAAUUUAUCUGACAUUUAAUAACUGUAAAGUGUGGACUUGACUUUUAAAGCACCCCCAAACUUCUGGGUGUGGUGGCAUACGCUUAUAAUCUCAGUGGAGGAUGGCAAAGGCAGAACUCUGUGAGUUCUGGGCCAGCCUGGUUCACAUGGUGAAGAGCAGCUCGCCAAACCUAUAUAUAGAGGGAGACUCUG